CUGCUCCUCCUCUUCAUUCCUCCUCUUCCUCCUCCUCUGUAUUUGGUUUUGUUAACAGAUCACUCAUACACACAGUAACUAGUAGCAGUAGUCGUAGCUUUUGGUUUCGGGUUACUUUUGGUUUUUUGGUCUGCUGCUUCAAGUGCACCUCCUCCUGCUCCUCUUCCUCGUUCUUCUUGUGUGUGUGUGUGUGUGUUUUUUUACACCCCCUCCAGCUCCUGUGUCUUCUUCU
This is a long non-coding RNA of Thalassophryne amazonica, 232 nucleotides long. RefSeq lists it as uncharacterized. The transcript has 3 exons. NCBI's taxonomy places the organism in Eukaryota, Metazoa, Chordata, Actinopteri, Batrachoidiformes, Batrachoididae. The record is from RefSeq and is a predicted model, not a curated record.